Molecule: ribosomal RNA, 1343 nt
Filed under: uncultured bacterium
Lineage: Bacteria
Description: 16S ribosomal RNA
Rfam family: Bacterial small subunit ribosomal RNA
Source: RNAcentral
GACGAACGUUGGCGGCGUGCUUAACACAUGCAAGUCGAACGGAAAGGCCCUGCUUUUGUGGGGUGCUCGAGUGGCGAACGGGUGAGUAACACGUGAGUAACCUGCCCUUGACUUUGGGAUAACUUCAGGAAACUGGGGCUAAUACCGGAUAGGAGCUCCUGCUGCAUGGUGGGGGUUGGAAAGUUUCGGCGGUUGAGGAUGGACUCGCGGCUUAUCAGCUUGUUGGUGGGGUAGUGGCUUACCAAGGCUUUGACGGGUAGCCGGCCUGAGAGGGUGACCGGCCACAUUGGGACUGAGAUACGGCCCGGACUCCUACGGGAGGCAGCAGUGGGGAAUAUUGCACAAUGGGCGGAAGCCUGAUGCAGCAACGCCGCGUGCGGGAUGACGGCCUUCGGGUUGUAAACCGCUUUCGCCUGUGACGAAGCGUGAGUGACGGUAAUGGGUAAAGAAGCACCGGCUAACUACGUGCCAGCAGCCGCGGUGAUACGUAGGGUGCGAGCGUUGUCCGGAUUUAUUGGGCGUAAAGGGCUCGUAGGUGGUUGAUCGCGUCGGAAGUGUAAUCUUGGGGCUUAACCCUGAGCGUGCUUUCGAUACGGGUUGACUUGAGGAAGGUAGGGGAGAAUGGAAUUCCUGGUGGAGCGGUGGAAUGCGCAGAUAUCAGGAGGAACACCAGUGGCGAAGGCGGUUCUCUGGGCCUUUCCUGACGCUGAGGAGCGAAAGCGUGGGGAGCGAACAGGCUUAGAUACCCUGGUAGUCCACGCUGUAAACGGUGGGUACUAGGUGUGGGGUCCAUUCCACGGGUUCCGUGCCGUAGCUAACGCUUUAAGUACCCCGCCUGGGGAGUACGGCCGCAAGGCUAAAACUCAAAGGAAUUGACGGGGCCCCGCACAAGCGGCGGAGCAUGCGGAUUAAUUCGAUGCAACGCGUAGAACCUUACCUGGGUUUGACAUGGAUCGGGAGUGCUCAGAGAUGGGUGUGCCUCUUUUGGGGUCGGUUCACAGGUGGUGCAUGGCUGUCGUCAGCUCGUGUCGUGAGAUGUUGGGUUAAGUCCCGCAACGAGCGCAACCCUUGUUCACUGUUGCCAGCACGUUAUGGUGGGGACUCAGUGGAGACCGCCGGGGUCAACUCGGAGGAAGGUGGGGAUGACGUCAAGUCAUCAUGCCCCUUAUGUCCAGGGCUUCACGCAUGCUACAAUGGCUGGUACAGAGAGUGGCGAGCCUGUGAGGGUGAGCGAAUCUCGGAAAGCCGGUCUCAGUUCGGAUUGGGGUCUGCAACUCGACCUCAUGAAGUCGGAGUCGCUAGUAAUCGCAAAUCAGCGACGCUGCGGUGAAUACGUUCCCGGG